GGGAAAGUGGCUCAGUUGGUAGAGUGCUUGCCUUGCAUGCAUGAGGCCCUAGGUUCGAUUCCUCAUCACCA
This 71-nucleotide transfer RNA is filed under the name Dipodomys ordii (Ord's kangaroo rat). It matches the Rfam family "tRNA". From Rfam's summary of the family: Transfer RNA (tRNA) molecules are approximately 80 nucleotides in length. Their secondary structure includes four short double-helical elements and three loops (D, anti-codon, and T loops). Lineage: Eukaryota; Metazoa; Chordata; Mammalia; Rodentia; Heteromyidae. The record is from Rfam by way of RNAcentral.